UAGGUCUUUCCACGGAAAGGUGGAAAGACCUAAUGAUCAGAACAAAAAAUAGGUCUUUCCACGGAAAGGUGGAAAGACCUAAUAAUAAUAAUAAUAAUAAUUAAAAACCAAUUGUUCAGAGAACAAUUGAAGGUCUUUCCAUUAGUAAAGAUCUAUUUUGAUAUUAAAAUAUGAAAAAUCAGUUUAAAAUGUUAGUUCCUAUGGCUUUAUGAUGUAUUUAUAUGAAUUUAAAGCAAAGGUCAAAAUCUAGAACGUCCUAUUAACCUAUGACCUUGACCUCAAUUUCAAGGUCACAAACCAAGGACCUUAAAUCAAAAGACCCUAGGUCUUUAAUAUGUUUGGUUAAUGAGUAAUACCACUUUACGCGUAAUUCUAAAUGUAAGAUGGACAAAAACUCCAAUUUAUUGUAUGCGCACCCUUUCAACCAAAAUAUACAAGUAAGGACAUGUCGCAACUAACAAUUUAGGAAAAAAUAUUUGUCGAUAUGUCAUACGGUAUUUGAAAAUAAGUGAAAAUAAGCCAAAAUCAAAUUUUAGAAUAUGACCUUGACCUUUGACCUUGACCUUAUUUUCAUUUUUUUGGACCAAGGAUCUCAAAUCAAGAGACCCUAGGUCUCUAUCACUUAUGGUUUACCAGUUAGAAACGCAUAUCACUUAUAUCAAAUACAUAAGGGGA
Molecule: long non-coding RNA, 675 nt
Filed under: Mytilus galloprovincialis (Mediterranean mussel)
Lineage: Eukaryota; Metazoa; Mollusca; Bivalvia; Mytilida; Mytilidae
Source: RNAcentral